UACGUAGGUGGCGAGCGUUGUCCGGAAUUACUGGGUGUAAAGGGCGUGUAGGCGGGAGUGUAAGUCAGAUGUGAAAUACCAUGGCUCAACUGUGGGGCUGCAUCUGAAACUACAUUUCUUGAGUGCUGGAGAGGAAAGCGGAAUUCCCAGUGUAGCGGUGAAAUGCGUAGAUAUUGGGAGGAACACCAGUGGCGAAGGCGGCUUUCUGGACAGUAACUGACGCUGAGGCGCGAAAGCGUGGGGAGCAAACAGGAUUAGAUACC
Molecule: ribosomal RNA, 263 nt
Filed under: uncultured bacterium
Lineage: Bacteria
Description: partial 16S ribosomal RNA
Rfam family: Bacterial small subunit ribosomal RNA
Source: RNAcentral